AACAAAAUAGAUUACAAUAAAUGGCAUUGCACCGCGAAGCUUAGCUUUUUGUUCAUACAGAAACAGUCAAGAUAUGAUCUUGAUGAUGGCGAUUGUUUCUUACAUUAAACGAAGGCUGCAACUUCUGCUCGUAAAUACCUAUAAUCUGGCAUCGCUUACAGCAUAUACAUCGAAGGAAUAAAACAAAGAACUUUUCAUAGGAUAUUAAAUGAAAAUAAGACCUCGAACAUCUGAUUAUGG
This 240-nucleotide long non-coding RNA is filed under the name Musa acuminata (dwarf banana). Its description in RNAcentral is "long non-coding RNA (MACU_LNC003144)". Lineage: Eukaryota; Viridiplantae; Streptophyta; Magnoliopsida; Zingiberales; Musaceae. The record is from RNAcentral.